UUGGAGAGAGAGCCUUUGUGACAGCAACAACAAGCAACAGAACACCAGCCACUGCCUGCGUAAUAUCCUUCAACCCUCACAAAACUCCCACAAGGGUUUCAGUAGAAAUCAUCUUUCUAUAAGGAUGGCUACACUCUGGUGUCCUGCACUGCCGAUCCUGUCCUGGAGUCCACAUGGGAACACUCUGACUCCUACAUUCACGAAAAGUGACCACGAGCCAGCCGUCUCACGGCCGCACUCUGGACGCGAUUACCAUCUCAUGUGAAAUCUUUAUUUUAAAUUAAAUUUAUUACAAUGUUGUCAAAACAUCAGAAAGGCAAAGAGAAUAAGGUCACAAAACUUAUCAUCUGAACUUGCCAAAUGUAAGAAUAUGGUCUUAUUUACUCCACAGUUUUUAAAUAAAUAAAUAGUAUAGUUAUUUUUUUCCAUCCAAAAUCUAAUUUUUGCCCCUCUACCUCCAGAGACAACUGCAGCUCUAGCAUUAGUAGUAUACUGCCGUUCAGGAUUUAUACUUUUACUACAUAGACAUUAUUAUUUUAAAGAUUACAAUGUGUAUACAUUAUGUGCUACAGCAUUUAUCCUCCAGUUUUUCUCAGUCAUGUUAAUGUUUUAAACAUAUUCAUAUGAAUUCUUUCAUUUUACUGUUAUACAGAAUGCAUCAAUAAGAAAAUGACACAACA
Nycticebus coucang (slow loris) is the source of this 680-nucleotide long non-coding RNA. RefSeq lists it as uncharacterized. NCBI's taxonomy places the organism in Eukaryota, Metazoa, Chordata, Mammalia, Primates, Lorisidae. The record is from RefSeq and is a predicted model, not a curated record. The transcript has 3 exons.